UGGGGAAUAUUGGACAAUGGGCGAAAGCCUGAUCCAGCCAUGCCGCGUGUGUGAAGAAGGUCUUCGGAUUGUAAAGCACUUUAAGUCGGGAGGAAGGGCAGUAAGCGAAUACCUUGCUGUUUUGACGUUACCGACAGAAUAAGCACCGGCUAACUCUGUGCCAGCAGCCGCGGUAAUACAGAGGGUGCAAGCGUUAAUCGGAAUUACUGGGCGUAAAGCGCGCGUAGGUGGUUCGUUAAGUUGAAUGUGAAAGCCCCGGGCUCAACCUGGGAACUGCAUCCAAAACGGGCGAGCUAGAGUAGGGCAGAGGGUGGUGGAAUUUCCUGUGUAGCGGUGAAAUGCGUAGAGAUAGGAAGGAACACCAGUGGCGAAGGCGAGCACCUGGGCUCAUACUGACACUGAGGUGCGAAAGCGUGGGGAGCAAACAGG
This 429-nucleotide ribosomal RNA is filed under the name Pseudomonadota bacterium. RNAcentral's name for it is "Proteobacteria bacterium partial 16S ribosomal RNA". It matches the Rfam family "Bacterial small subunit ribosomal RNA", at positions 355 to 776 of the family's 1533-position model. Lineage: Bacteria; Pseudomonadati; Pseudomonadota. The record is from RNAcentral.